Bactrocera tryoni is the source of this 905-nucleotide long non-coding RNA. RefSeq lists it as uncharacterized. The record is from RefSeq and is a predicted model, not a curated record. NCBI's taxonomy places the organism in Eukaryota, Metazoa, Arthropoda, Insecta, Diptera, Tephritidae. The transcript is spliced from 3 exons.
UGUUAAAAAAUGUAAUGUGCAAGUUAUUUAUUUACACUUACUUCCAUGCAUUUAUUGGCUGUUUCCUCGAUCGUGUUUAUUUAAAGCCUUCCCUACAAGACGGAGGUAACAGAUUGCACAAACACAUUAAAAAAUUUCCAGCUGUUCACCAACACUGUUACAUUGUGUGCAAUUUUCGAUUGAAUGGAACAAAGCGCUUUCAAACUUAUCGAAAUAUUAAUAUGUUUAAAGAGAAAAGGUGAUACACAAUUUUUCAAGAAAAAUUAUUAAUAACUAAAGCUGAAAAAUUCGCAAUAGUUUGGUUAAUUUUGGCAUUUCAAGAAAUUAAAAAUACGAGAAAAAACUAUUGAAGUAAGUUUACAAAAACGACUGGACAUUGUUGGACAUGAUAUCUGUUUAAGUUGAAACUGCUUGGUGGUUAUACAUGUUAUCAAACCGCUGCCUUUAAAAGUGAAUUAUGAGGGAGAAACUUUGCUAUAUCUCUUAUGACAUCCAGAUGAAACAGUGAAUAGCGUUAGAAACAACUGAGCUUAUCACAAAUAGCUUCCAAUUAGCGAAUUUUACUAAUACAAUAUUUUGUUCUUUACUACAGUUAUCUGAGGAUUGUGUGGUUAAUGUUUUGAGGCGCUAUUCCAACAGCAUUUAAUAAACGUUGAAGGACACGGCAUCGCUGGGUCAGUGUUUAACAUCAAACAAACAGAAACUUACAAAGAGUUGACAAUAGUAGCAAGCACCAAAAGUUAUAGAAAGAAACUUCAUGUAAUUGUUGCCUUAAAGUUAUAUCUAUACUUCGUUUUGUUUUCUGUUAAUAUAACUUGCAAUAAUAUGUACAUUUACGUUAAAAAUUACAAGAUAGUUAUCUAUUAACAACUUUGAAAGUCUAUAUUAACAAAAUGUAUUUAUGA